CCUACGGGUGGCAGCAGUGGGGAAUAUUGGGCAAUGGGCGCAAGCCUGACCCAGCAACGCCGCGUGAAGGAAGAAGGCCCUCGGGUUGUAAACCUCUUUUAUCAGGGACGAAACAAAUGACGGUACCUGAUGAAUAAGCCACGGCUAACUACGUGCCAGCAGGCGCGGUAAUACGUAGGUGGCAAGCGUUAUCCGGAUUUAAUGGUUGUAAAGGGCGUGUAGGCGGGAGAGCAAGUCAGACGUUAAAUUCCAGGGGUCAACCCUGGAACUGCGUUUGAAACUGUUCGUCGUGAGCGGUGGAGAGGUAGGCGGAAUGCGGUGUGUAGCGGUGAAAUGCGUAGAUAUAGGGAGGAACACCAGUGGCGAAGGCGGCCUGCUGGACAGUAACUGACGCUGAGGCGCGAAAGCGUGGGGAGCAAACAGGAUUAGAUACCCCUGUAGUC
This 443-nucleotide ribosomal RNA is filed under the name uncultured bacterium. RNAcentral describes it as "partial 16S ribosomal RNA". It matches the Rfam family "Bacterial small subunit ribosomal RNA", at positions 338 to 795 of the family's 1533-position model. The record is from RNAcentral.